UAUACCAGGUUUCUCUCUGCCUGUCAUCUCUAUUCAUACAGUAUACCAGGUUUCUCUCUGCCUGUCAUCUCUAUUCAUACAGUAUAUCAGGUUUCUCUCUGCCUGUCAUCUCUAUUCAUACAGUAUACCAGGUUUCUCUCUGGGAACUCCCCAGGUCCUCUGAACCAGGAUCCCUCAGUAGAGCGGAGCAGAGUGAGAGUAGACUGCAGCGCCCCGGGUUCUCUCUCCCUCCUCCUCUCCUCCUUCCAUCCCUCCAUCCUCACUGUCCCACCCGUGCCCUGAGCCCCACUAUCCUGCCAGCCUGUUGUCUGUGUCCAGUAGCAGGGAUGUUGUGCUGCAGUUAGCAGUGUUUGACCACCGGGGGUGCAGUUUGCAAACUUCAGCUCGUGCUCAGUGAACUGGCUGACCUCUAACUAUCCCCUGCUGUCCCUGCCCUCACACAUACACAUGGGCCUGGCAGACACACACACACCCAGCGGCCACAGCAAACUGCACGGUCAGGGUUUUCAUUCAUCGUUCAGCCUAGUGGAGACCCAGGCACAAUAGAGAUUGUGUGUGUGGUGUUUAGUAUGUGUUAUGGUUGUUGAUUAAAUGGUUUGUUAAAGGGAUGCUCYUUWCCACACAAGUYCCAGUUAUCAGGGAUUGUGUUGAGGGGAUUUCAAUAGAAUCAGAGAGGCCGUGUUGUCAGGCCCCUAACAUUUUCAGAAGUGGAUGCUGAUAGGCGGUGUGUGUACAUGCAGAGUUCUGAUUGGUUGUCUCUGUGUUGCAGGUCGUCAGGUGCUCCGCGCCCACGAUCUAACAGGGACAGUCACUGUCACUGUGGCCCUCACACCUGCACAGGACUCAUGGGCCACACCGCUGACUGCGUCUGUGCAUCUGAGACUGGUGGAGGACGUGCUGUGGGACAAACGUGCUAUAACCCUCCAUAACCACCCUGA
This is a non-coding RNA of Salvelinus sp. IW2-2015, 938 nucleotides long. The record is from RefSeq and is a predicted model, not a curated record. NCBI's taxonomy places the organism in Eukaryota, Metazoa, Chordata, Actinopteri, Salmoniformes, Salmonidae.